CAGAGUUGCAAGACUCCCUAAACCAUUGUGAACCUACCCUCUACCGUUGCUUCGGCGGGCGGGCCCAGCGCCCCCCCCGGCCCCCCGCGGGCGCCCGCCGGAGGAUACCCAAACUCUUGACAUUAGUGGCCUCUCUGAGUAUUCUUUACUGAAUAAGUCA
This 160-nucleotide unclassified non-coding RNA is filed under the name soil metagenome. RNAcentral's name for it is "partial internal transcribed spacer 1". The record is from RNAcentral.